CAGAAGGGGAUAACACUUGGAAACAGGUGCUAAUACCGUAUAACAAUCGAAACCGCAUGGUUUUGAUUUGAAAGGCGCUUUCGGGUGUCGCUGAUGGAUGGACCCGCGGUGCAUUAGCUAGUUGGUGAGGUAACGGCUCACCAAGGCCACGAUGCAUAGCCGACCUGAGAGGGUGAUCGGCCACAUUGGGACUGAGACACGGCCCAAACUCAUACGGGAGGCAGCAGUAGGGAAUCUUCGGCAAUGGACGAAAGUCUGACCGAGCAACGCCGCGUGAGUGAAGAAGGUUUUCGGAUCGUAAAACUCUGUUGUUAGAGAAGAACAAGGAUGAGAGUAACUGUUCAUCCCUUGACGGUAUCUAACCAGAAAGCCACGGCUAACUACGUGCCAGCAGCCGCGGUAAUACGUAGGUGGCAAGCGUUGUCCGGAUUUAUUGGGCGUAAAGCGAGCGCAGGCGGUUUCUUAAGUCUGAUGUGAAAGCCCCCGGCUCAACCGGGGAGGGUCAUUGGAAACUGGGAGACUUGAGUGCAGAAGAGGAGAGUGGAAUUCCAUGUGUAGCGGUGAAAUGCGUAGAUAUAUGGAGGAACACCAGUGGCGAAGGCGGCUCUCUGGUCUGUAACUGACGCUGAGGCUCGAAAGCGUGGGGAGCAAACAGGAUUAGAUACCCUGGUAGUCCACGCCGUAAACGAUGAGUGCUAAGUGUUGGAGGGUUUCCGCCCUUCAGUGCUGCAGCUAACGCAUUAAGCACUCCGCCUGGGGAGUACGAC
Molecule: ribosomal RNA, 767 nt
Filed under: Enterococcus sp. E03_21
Lineage: Bacteria; Bacillati; Bacillota; Bacilli; Lactobacillales; Enterococcaceae
Description: bacterial SSU rRNA
Rfam family: Bacterial small subunit ribosomal RNA
Source: RNAcentral